This 97-nucleotide signal recognition particle RNA is filed under the name Pseudoteredinibacter isoporae. RNAcentral's name for it is "gamma proteobacterium sw-11 Bacterial small signal recognition particle RNA". It matches the Rfam family "Bacterial small signal recognition particle RNA". Rfam says of the family: The signal recognition particle (SRP) is a universally conserved ribonucleoprotein involved in the co-translational targeting of proteins to membranes. Archaeal SRP consists of a 7S RNA and homologues of the eukaryotic SRP19 and SRP54 proteins. In most bacteria, the SRP consists of a 4.5S RNA and the Ffh protein (a homologue of the eukaryotic SRP54 protein). The record is from Rfam by way of RNAcentral. Lineage: Bacteria; Pseudomonadati; Pseudomonadota; Gammaproteobacteria; Cellvibrionales; Cellvibrionaceae.
UGUCGGUCCCCUCGCAAUGAUUAGCUGCGAACCCCGCCAGGCCCGGAAGGGAGCAACGGUAGCAGUGAGUUCAUGUGCCGGGGUGUGGCUGGCUUGA